CACCAGACUCCUACGGGAGGCAGCAGUGGGGAAUAUUGCACAAUGGGGGAAACCCUGAUGCAGCGACGCCGCGUGAGUGAAGAAGUAUUUCGGUAUGUAAAGCUCUAUCAGCAGGGAAGAUAAUGACGGUACCUGAGUAAGAAGCCCCGGCUAACUACGUGCCAGCAGCCGCGGUAAUACGUAGGGGGCAAGCGUUAUCCGGAUUUACUGGGUGUAAAGGGAGCGUAGACGGCAUGGCAAGUCUGAAGUGAAAGCCCGGGGCUCAACCGCGGGACUGCUUUGGAAACUGUUAAGCUGGAGUGCAGGAGAGGUAAGUGGAAUUCCUAGUGUAGCGGUGAAAUGCGUAGAUAUUAGGAGGAACACCAGUGGCGAAGGCGGCCUGCUGGACGAUGACUGACGUUGAGGCUCGAAAGCGUGGGGAGCAAACAGGAUUAGAUACCCUAGUACUC
Molecule: ribosomal RNA, 449 nt
Filed under: uncultured bacterium
Lineage: Bacteria
Description: bacterial SSU rRNA
Rfam family: Bacterial small subunit ribosomal RNA
Source: RNAcentral